Cyprinus carpio carpio is the source of this 1804-nucleotide long non-coding RNA. Lineage: Eukaryota; Metazoa; Chordata; Actinopteri; Cypriniformes; Cyprinidae. The record is from Ensembl.
UCAUUUGAACAGAGUAAAUCAGAAAGCUUUUCCAGUCCAAAGUAUUCAGUAUUUGUGGGUCACUGAUGUAAAGUAGAAUCUGUGUACAGUUCCAUUCCAUAUUAAUAACCAGGCAGACAAGGAAAUUUAAAUUCACAAUCAGAACAAGAGCAAGACAGGUUCGGUAUAACAGCCUGUUCACUGUACCUGUCAAACUAGCUUUGCUGUAGUAUAACAGCAUAAGAAUGUAACACAGCUUAAAUUCUCUGGUGUGUCUUAUGGGAAAUGCUGUACUAACUGUAUUGUUAUUCAGGCAUACUGCUGAGAGGCUCUCCUUCCAUUGGCUGGUGAGGCUUGCAUCUCAAAUUCUAUUAGAUUUACUAGAGAGAAAAGGGCUGCUUCCACCAACUUGCUUUACAUAUUGUUAGAGCCAAAUGCUGCUUUGUAAUUGGGUUGUAAUUUCUUUGUCUAACACUGGGUGGCGCAUGUUUGUAACUUGGCCUCAGGUAUAAAGGCAGCAGAUACAAUGUUGUCUACAGGUGUUUGACCCGGAAGGGCAAAGGGUUUUUGACCGCUUGCGCGCGGCGCUUUGUAUUGUUACACUGAUGGAAACUGCUAUGGACAGUGCUGUAUUAAAAUAAAUGGACCACUUUGGAUUUCAACGUCAACAUUCGUCUAUACGUUUUUGGUUUAGCACAGGGCAAUCAAGUGAGCAUAGUAACAAAGUGUGUCAAUCACGGCUUCUGCGGGCUCAGACAUCUAAGUAGUUCGGAACCAAAGCGAACUCCUUAACAUUAGUCAAAACCCCCGCAUCAGUUCGGACUUUGUUUACAAACGUCGGAGUCUUCGGCAUGCAUGCAUGGAAUUGAGAGCAGUCGAAGAGCCGUCGGUUUUCUUGUGGAUUAUUGUUUGGAUAUUACGUGGGCUUUUUGGUGACAGGGAGUUGGUUUGAUACCGAAAUCAGACCACGGAGUAACGUUACGAGGGACCAUCUGAUGACGGCACGGCGCCCAAUGAAAGAGCCAGCCCACAACUCCGCAUCGUCAGCCUACGCCCAACCACGGGCUUCCCAAGACGUCACUUCAACGACUACUGAACUUCCAGCCAAUCAGCAACCUCGGGAAACCCCCUUUUCAGCGACAACAAAGGGAACCCCGUUACACAGGCAUCACAAGUAACGUACCUCCAGACUCUGAUCUGUACUGGUGUUAUCUAAUAUAAUUUUAACCUAAUUGAUGAACUCAAUGCGAGGGUUAAUUAAGUGACUGAUGGUUGUUCAUGUCUAUGCAAUUUCACGUAUUGCUGUAAACUUGGGAUUUCACAUUUUCAUUCUCUUAAACUCAUUCUUUCCUAACGUUCUAUCUUCCUGCAACUUGUGUGAAUGUGAGUGCGUGUGCUUAUGUGUUAGAUUAGUUAAUAUGUCUUAGAUUUAUCUAAUAAAGCCUUAUUCAUAUUGAAAAGAGAAGUAUCUUGUGUUUUGUGCUUACAAGUUAAUGUCUUAAACUGCCGAUCUUGUUACUGUGCUAAUUAAUAGUGUUUUCACUAUACUUUGGAUAUUAAUAUCCAGCGCAGAUUUGAUGUUAUACGGCUCGUUCAGUGAAUCGCUGGCCGUUUCAGUGAUCAGCCAUGAAACAGUGAUUCUGUUCAAAUUCCCUUUAAAAUCUUAAAUGAGUCCCUUUGAGCUAAAUUGACCUGUUUCCCUUACAUAACCAAGAAUGUCUCAUGACAGUGUUAAAUUAAGUCCUUGUCAAAUGUAUCUAUACAAUGACACUGUAAGUACUGAAAAGAUCAAAUUGGUUUUUCAGUCAUUUUUAUUGGUUUAAUU